RNAcentral lists this ribosomal RNA (759 nucleotides) under Methanosarcina sp. enrichment culture clone A1-14. RNAcentral's name for it is "bacterial SSU rRNA". It matches the Rfam family "Archaeal small subunit ribosomal RNA", at positions 102 to 859 of the family's 1478-position model. The record is from RNAcentral. Lineage: Archaea; Methanobacteriati; Methanobacteriota; Methanomicrobia; Methanosarcinales; Methanosarcinaceae.
GGAUAACCUGCCCUUGGGACCGGCAUAACCCCGGGAAACUGGGGAUAAUUCCGGAUAACGCAUAUGUGCUGGAAUGCUUUAUGCGUAAAAUGGAUUCGUCUGCCCAAGGAUGGGUCUGCGGCCUAUCAGGUAGUAGUGGGUGUAAUGUACCUACUAGCCAGCGACGGGUACGGGUUGUGAGAGCAAGAGCCCGGAGAUGGAUUCUGAGACAUGAAUCCAGGCCCUACGGGGCGCAGCAGGCGCGAAAACUUUACAAUGCGGGAAACCGCGAUAAGGGAACACCGAGUGCCAGCAUCCUAUGUUGGCUGUCCACAUGUGUAAAUAACAUGUGUUAGCAAGGGCCGGGCAAGACCGGUGCCAGCCGCCGCGGUAACACCGGCGGCCCGAGUGGUGGCCACUAUUAUUGGGUCUAAAGGGUCCGUAGCCGGUUUGGUCAGUCUUCCGGGAAAUCUGACGGCUUAACCGUUAGGCUUCCGGGGGAUACUGCCAGACUUGGGACCGGGAGAGGUAAGAGGUACUACAGGGGUAGGAGUGAAAUCUUGUAAUCCCUGUGGGACCACCUGUGGCGAAGGCGUCUUACCAGAACGGGUUCGACGGUGAGGGACGAAAGCUGGGGGCACGAACCGGAUUAGAUACCCGGGUAGUCCCAGCCGUAAACGAUGCUCGCUAGGUGUCAGGCAUGGCGCGACCGUGUCUGGUGCCGCAGGGAAGCCGUGAAGCGAGCCACCUGGGAAGUACGGCCGCAAGGCUGAAACUUAA